UGCAGUCGAACGGCAGCACGGGGGCAACCCUGGUGGCGAGUGGCGAACGGGUGAGUAAUACAUCGGAACGUGUCCUGUAGUGGGGGAUAGCCCGGCGAAAGCCGGAUUAAUACCGCAUACGCUCUACGGAGGAAAGGGGGGGAUCUUAGGACCUCCCGCUACAGGGGCGGCCGAUGGCAGAUUAGCUAGUUGGUGGGGUAAAGGCCUACCAAGGCGACGAUCUGUAGCUGGUCUGAGAGGACGACCAGCCACACUGGGACUGAGACACGGCCCAGACUCCUACGGGAGGCAGCAGUGGGGAAUUUUGGACAAUGGGCGAAAGCCUGAUCCAGCAAUGCCGCGUGUGUGAAGAAGGCCUUCGGGUUGUAAAGCACUUUUGUCCGGAAAGAAAACCUCCGCCCUAAUAUGGUGGGGGGAUGACGGUACCGGAAGAAUAAGCACCGGCUAACUACGUGCCAGCAGCCGCGGUAAUACGUAGGGUGCAAGCGUUAAUCGGAAUUACUGGGCGUAAAGCGUGCGCAGGCGGUCCGCUAAGACAGAUGUGAAAUCCCCGGGCUUAACCUGGGAACUGCAUUUGUGACUGGCGGGCUAGAGUAUGGCAGAGGGGGGUAGAAUUCCACGUGUAGCAGUGAAAUGCGUAGAGAUGUGGAGGAAUACCGAUGGCGAAGGCAGCCCCCUGGGCCAAUACUGACGCUCAUGCACGAAAGCGUGGGGAGCAAACAGGAUUAGAUACCCUGGUAGUCCACGCCCUAAACGAUGUCAACUAGUUGUUGGGGAUUCAUUUCCUUAGUAACGUAGCUAACGCGUGAAGUUGACCGCCUGGGGAGUACGGUCGCAAGAUUAAAACUCAAAGGAAUUGACGGGGACCCGCACAAGCGGUGGAUGAUGUGGAUUAAUUCGAUGCAACGCGAAAAACCUUACCUACCCUUGACAUGUAUGGAAUCCUGCUGAGAGGUGGGAGUGCCCGAAAGGGA
Molecule: ribosomal RNA, 974 nt
Filed under: Paraburkholderia sediminicola
Lineage: Bacteria; Pseudomonadati; Pseudomonadota; Betaproteobacteria; Burkholderiales; Burkholderiaceae
Description: bacterial SSU rRNA
Rfam family: Bacterial small subunit ribosomal RNA
Source: RNAcentral